This 497-nucleotide ribosomal RNA is filed under the name uncultured bacterium. Its description in RNAcentral is "partial 16S ribosomal RNA". It matches the Rfam family "Bacterial small subunit ribosomal RNA", at positions 28 to 507 of the family's 1533-position model. The record is from RNAcentral.
GAUGAACGCUGGCGGCGUGCCUAAUACAUGCAAGUCGAGCGAACGGACGAGAAGCUUGCUUCUCUGAUGUUAGCGGCGGACGGGUGAGUAACACGUGGAUAACCUACCUAUAAGACUGAGAUAACUUCGGGAAACCGUAUCUAAUACCGGAUAAUAUUUUGAAGCGCGUUGUUCAAAAGUGAAAGACGGUCGUGCUGUCACUUAUAGAUGGAUCCGCGCUGCAUUAGCUAGUUGGUAAGGUAACGGCCUACCAAGGCAACGAUGCAUAGCCGACCGGAGAGGGUGAUCGGCCACCCUGGAGCUGAGACACGGUCAUGACUCCUACGGGAGGGCGCAGUAGGGAAUCUUACGCAAUGGGCGAGAGCCUGACGCAGCAACGCCGCGUGAGUUAUGAAGGUCUUCGGUUCGUAAAGCUCUGUUAUGAGGGAAGAACAUAUGUGUAAGUAGCUGUGCACAUCUUGACGGUACCUAAUCAGAAAGCAACGGCUAACUACGUG